GAUGAACGCUGGCGGCGUGCCUAACACAUGCAAGUCGAGCGAACAGAUGAGGAGCUUGCUCCUCUGACGUUAGCGGCGGACGGGUGAGUAACACGUGGAUAACCUACCUAUAAGACUGGGAUAACUUCGUGAAACCAGAGCUAAUACCGGAUAAUAUAUUGAACCGCAUGGUUCAAUAGUGUUAGACGGUUUUGCUGUUACUUAUAGAUGGAUUCGCGCCGCAUUAGCUAGUUGGUAAGGUAACGGCUUACCAAGGCAACGAUGCGUAGCUGACCUGAGAGGGUGAUCGGCCACAGUGGGACUGAGACACGGUCCAGACUCCUACGGGAGGCAGCAGUAGGGAAGCUUCGGCAAAGGGCGAAAGCCUGACGGAGCAACGCCGCGUGGGUGAAGAAGGUCUGCGGAUCGUAAAACUCUGUUAUUAGGGAAGAACAAAUGUGUAAGUAACUAUGCACGUCUUGACGGUACCUAAUCAGAAAGCCACGGCUAACUACGUG
Molecule: ribosomal RNA, 497 nt
Filed under: uncultured bacterium
Lineage: Bacteria
Description: partial 16S ribosomal RNA
Rfam family: Bacterial small subunit ribosomal RNA
Source: RNAcentral